CGGGAGGCAGCAGUGGGGAAUAUUGCACAAUGGGCGAAAGCCUGAUGCAGCGACGCCGCGUGAGGGAUGACGGCCUUCGGGUUGUAAACCUCUUUCAGCAGGGAAGAAGCGAAAGUGACGGUACCUGCAGAAGAAGCGCCGGCUAACUACGUGCCAGCAGCCGCGGUAAUACGUAGGGCGCRAGCGUUGUCCGGAAUUAUUGGGCGUAAAGAGCUCGUAGGCGGCUUGUCRCGUCGGUUGUGAAAGCCCGGGGCUUAACCCCGGGUCUGCAGUCGAUACGGGCAGGCUAGAGUUCGGUAGGGGAGAUCGGAAUUCCUGGUGUAGCGGUGAAAUGCGCAGAUAUCAGGAGGAACACCGGUGGCGAAGGCGGAUCUCUGGGCCGAUACUGACGCUGAGGAGCGAAAGCGUGGGGAGCGAACAGGAUUAGAUACCCUGGUAGUCCACGCCGUAAACGGUGGGCACUAGGUGUGGGCRACAUUCCACGUYGUCCGUGCCGCAGCUAACGCA
RNAcentral lists this ribosomal RNA (507 nucleotides) under Streptomyces sp. IG4. RNAcentral's name for it is "bacterial SSU rRNA". It matches the Rfam family "Bacterial small subunit ribosomal RNA", at positions 342 to 859 of the family's 1533-position model. The record is from RNAcentral. Lineage: Bacteria; Bacillati; Actinomycetota; Actinomycetes; Kitasatosporales; Streptomycetaceae.